GACGAACGCUGGCGGUGUGCUUAACACAUGCAAGUCGAACGUGACUUCCUUGCCCAUGCGUCGUGCUCGAGGCGGGAAGGGGUGAGUAACACGUGCCUACCAUCAACUGCAUUCUGGGUUACCUUAAGGAUAUUCGGGCUAAUACGGCACAGCAGCCACUGCUGCAAAGGGGGGGGUGGAACGUUUCGGCGGUUGGGGAUGUACUCGCCGCUUCUCACUUUGUUGGUGAGGUCGAGGCGUACCAAGAUUUUCACGGGUACCCGGCCUGAGAGGGUGAUCGGCGACAUUGUGACUGAGAUACAGCCCAGACUCCUACGGGAGGCAGCAGUGGGGAAUAUUGCGCAAUGGGCGGAAGCCUGAUGCAGCGACGCCGCGUGCGGGAUGACGGCCUUCGGGUUGUAAACCGCUUUCGCCUGUGACGAAGCGUGAGUGACGGUAAUGGGUAAAGAAGCACCGGCUAACUACGUG
RNAcentral lists this ribosomal RNA (468 nucleotides) under uncultured bacterium. RNAcentral describes it as "partial 16S ribosomal RNA". It matches the Rfam family "Bacterial small subunit ribosomal RNA", at positions 28 to 507 of the family's 1533-position model. The record is from RNAcentral.